GAUCCUGGCUCAGAUUGAACGCUGGCGGCAUGCCUUACACAUGCAAGUCGAACGGCAGCACGGGAGCAAUCCUGGUGGCGAGUGGCGAACGGGUGAGUAAAGUAUCGGAACGUACCUUUCAGUGGGGGAUAACGUAGCGAAAGUUACGCUAAUACCGCAUAUUCUGUGAGCAGGAAAGCAGGGGAUCGCAAGACCUUGCGCUGAUUGAGCGGCCGAUAUCAGAUUAGCUAGUUGGUGGGGUAAAGGCCUACCAAGGCGACGAUCUGUAGCGGGUCUGAGAGGAUGAUCCGCCACACUGGAACUGAGACACGGUCCAGACUCCUACGGGAGGCAGCAGUGGGGAAUUUUGGACAAUGGGGGCAACCCUGAUCCAGCCAUGCCGCGUGAGUGAAGAAGGCCUGG
This 402-nucleotide ribosomal RNA is filed under the name uncultured bacterium. RNAcentral describes it as "bacterial SSU rRNA". It matches the Rfam family "Bacterial small subunit ribosomal RNA", at positions 15 to 419 of the family's 1533-position model. The record is from RNAcentral.